Molecule: long non-coding RNA, 879 nt
Filed under: Vigna radiata
Lineage: Eukaryota; Viridiplantae; Streptophyta; Magnoliopsida; Fabales; Fabaceae
Description: long non-coding RNA (VRAD_LNC001076)
Source: RNAcentral
AAUAGCCCUACUACCUCGGUUAGUCAGAAAACCGAGGCAUAAAGGUCUGUUGUGAAACUGAGUAAACCAGGUGAAGCUUUUAUGCUUCAGUUUUACUUGGACCCGAUGCGUAUAAUGCAUUUUUAGGAAUCGGUUGGCCUGAAUAACUGAAGCAGUAUGGCUUUAUUACUUCUGUUGACGUAAUAACCGAAGCAAUAUUUCUUUUAUACUUUCACCCAGCCAAAAUUAACCCUACACACAUUGUGUUUCGUUCUCUACUGUCGUCGUUGCAUCCAAAAGCUUCAUUGCGUCCACCAUUUCUGCCGCUGCUAUCGUCUCUACUUCCUCGGCAUCUCCACCAUUGCUGCUCGUCGCGCAUCUCCCUUGCCAGCCUUGCCUUCGUCGUGUUUUUGACCGCCUCCCUUCGCUCCUCCACCAUUGUUCCUCUUUCUUCUCCCCGCAAAACUGGUUUUUCUUCUUCCUUGGUCGCGCUUCCAUUGCUCUCUGCGGCGAAGAUUUUGUUCGUCCAUUGCUCUUAGGCAAAGCAUCCUCUCAUGCACGUUGGUGCCUCUGUUUCUCCAUCUUCGUUGUUGCAUUUCUGUGUCGUGUCCGUGCCUCCAUUCCAGUCACCGUCACCGCUGCAACGUUGGACUUCGCCGCUGCCUCAAUGGCAUUCAUUGUUUUUCUUUGUUCUUCAUGGUAAGUUUUCUUAAAAUUGCUCCCUUUGAAGUUCCAUUGCCGCCAUGUUAUUUAUGACUGUGUUGGGUGAGAAAGAAUUAGUUUUAGUUUUAGAUUAGGAAUCUGUUGAUUAAAGGAGAACGUUUAGUGAGAGUUAAGGAUGAGAGAUAAAUUGUAGCAUGAUAUGCCUCUUUUGCCAGAGCAACGGGAAAUGGCUGCUUU